AUCGUGCAGCUUCUCUUCUUCAUCGGUAAGUUCACUCCGGCCAGGAAGUGAAUAGAUUGCCUUCCGUUGUAGCUGAUUGACCAUGAGAGCCAAGUGGAAGAAGAAGCGUAUGAGGAGAUUGAAGAGGAAGCGCCGAAAGAUGAGGCAGAGAUCCAAGUAGAAUUGUACUGGGCAGUUCUUAGCUUUUGACAUAUCUCCGUCGCUCUAGGUUAUUGUGUUUUUGUCUUAUUUUCAGUGUUUGCAGUUAAAUUUCAGUAGUUACAUUGUGCUAAUGGCACAUAAACCUAAUGUAUUUCUUUUUCCGAGGUGUAUUGAAACUGUGGGAGCCAUUUUUGGCUCACGUUUAUGAUAUUUACUCCUUAAUUACUUAUUCAUCUCG
Molecule: long non-coding RNA, 379 nt
Filed under: Solanum lycopersicum (tomato)
Lineage: Eukaryota; Viridiplantae; Streptophyta; Magnoliopsida; Solanales; Solanaceae
Description: uncharacterized LOC101254604 (LOC101254604)
Source: RNAcentral